This 474-nucleotide ribosomal RNA is filed under the name uncultured bacterium. RNAcentral's name for it is "bacterial SSU rRNA". It matches the Rfam family "Bacterial small subunit ribosomal RNA", at positions 38 to 507 of the family's 1533-position model. The record is from RNAcentral.
GGCGGCAGGCUUAACACAUGCAAGUCGAGCGGUAGCAGAUCUAGCUUGCUAGAUGCUGACGAGCGGCGGACGGGUGAGUAACGCGUAGGAACCUGCCCAGUAGUGGGGGAUAGCCCGGGGAAACUCGGAUUAAUACCGCAUACGCUCUACGGAGGAAAGAGGGGCUUCGGGCUCUCGCUAUUGGAUGGGCCUGCGUGAGAUUAGCUAGUUGGUGAGGUAAUGGCUCACCAAGGCGACGAUCUCUAGCUGGCCUGAGAGGAUGAUCAGCCACACUGGGACUGAGACACGGCCCAGACUCCUACGGGAGGCAGCAGUGGGGAAUAUUGCACAAUGGGCGCAAGCCUGAUGCAGCCAUGCCGCGUGUGUGAAGAAGGCUUUCGGGUUGUAAAGCACUUUCAGUGGGGAGGAAGGCCUCGUAGUUAAUAGCUGCGAGGAUUGACGUUACCCACAGAAGAAGCACCGGCUAACUCCGUG